Ipomoea triloba (trilobed morning glory) is the source of this 2722-nucleotide long non-coding RNA. RefSeq lists it as uncharacterized. The transcript has 7 exons. The record is from RefSeq and is a predicted model, not a curated record. NCBI's taxonomy places the organism in Eukaryota, Viridiplantae, Streptophyta, Magnoliopsida, Solanales, Convolvulaceae.
CCUCCUUCGCAAAAAAUCAGUCCGCCAUUUCCCUCCUUCGCGAAAUUUUCAGACCUUUAAUUCAUUAUUCAUUCCAUCUCCAUUUCGCAUUCCAUCUCCAUGUCACAUUUCAGCCGCCACCGCCGCCGCCGCUCACUGCUGAAAAACGUUGGUCGGAAAGUGGAUAUAUAUAGGUUCCCUACUCAGACUCCAUCACCGCCGCGCCCGCUACUCAGACUCCGUCGGUUUUCUCGUUGCUUGUUUCUCGUCGCCGUCGACGUCGUUGCUUGUUUCUCGUCGCCCGUGCCUUAUCUGCUACAGUUAUCAAGGGAAUAUCAGCAUAAAAGGGGAUUGAGGCUGCAAAAAAUGGAUUAUCAACGGCGCAGAAGGGAAUUGAAGCUGCUGAUGAAGAGAGUGAAACAGCUCUGAGCUUCAGAGCGUUAGCACAAGCUGGCGGUGGUGAGCUUCGGCGGCGGUCCUCUUAUUCUUGGAUUUCUCCUAAGCUGCAAUCAAUUUCUUAAAACCACGGGCACAGUUUGAGCCUAAAAGGGUUGAACAUGAUCAGAGUAGAAUCUCACACUCCCAGAAGACAUCAGAUGUGAAGUUGAAGGAGAUGAAAGACUAGAUUAUUAGAGCAAAAGUAUACCUGAGUUUUUCUCCACAAGGUAGCAAAUCUCAUAUUGUGAAAGAGAUCAAGAUGCGAAUCAAAGACCGGGAAAGAGCUAUGGGUGAAGUUACUAAGGAGUCUGAUUUGUCUCGGAGGUAAGAUGAAGAUGAACUUAGGUCCUUUCCUUUUCCCUUUCAAAUGCCCCAACAUUUACAAAUAGGUGCAUGUAAUGAAUACAUCAGUUAAAAGAGCUUAUAUCACUAAAGAGCCCAAGCCAGUACUUAAAAGAAAUCUCCUUGAGCCUUCUCUGCAAAGUUGUGCAUCAUGUUCGUUGAGAAACCUAUGCUCAUGCUUGUUCUUGUCUACAGAAUUGGCGGAAAGCAAUGCACCAUGAUUUCCCUAUUUGUUUUGAGGUAUGAAAAGUAGCAAAUUAUAUCUCCCCCGAGGUGAUUUGUGUUUAUAUAUUAAAUCAGAUCAGUUUCUUCCUUUCUUCUUCAAACCUGAAUGAAAAUAUUAAUUGAUAGGGCUGCACUGAACUAGAAUUUGCUUCCAGUGGCAGUGUUGCUGUGUGCUUUGGUUGGGGAAUUUUAAAUUGGAUUUUGAUUGAAAUAAAAUAAAGGAGUAGGUGUGAAUGAGUAGAGGCAGUAAGUUCUGAAAUGCCGCUGGAUGAUAGGCAGUACUGCUGCAUUUGUGCUGCUGUGCUCUAAAUACAAUUGGUUUGUUUGAUUUAUAAAGUGAGGACUCUUGGGCAGUGAAAUGGAAAUAAAUGGGAAUGGAAGCAUUGUUGAUUGGGUAUAUGUGUAUAUGUGAUAUAUUGUGCUUGCUAUUGCUUGAAGGUGAUUUAAUUGAAUUUUGAUAUUGAAAAUAAGCUUGUGAAAUAGUUGAAUUGCUGCUGCUUGGUUCUAAUUGUUGCUGCUGUAUGCUCAUAAUGCUGUUAUGGUUUUAGAAUGAAUGAGUUAGGUUGGAGAUUAUAUUGUUCAUCUUUUGGCAACUUGAUUACUAUUUUCUGUGUUGAUAAAUAGCAAUUCCAAACCAAUUAUGAAAACUGCAGCCUAUGGGGUAAACCAUCAAUAUUUUCUAUGUAAUUUCGAUGAACAGCCAUCUUUAUUGGAUAUUAUGCUAAGCCAUCCCUUGAUGAUUCAUCAAUUUAUUUCUGAGGUGUUAAUAGCCAACCUUUUUUUUUUUUUUUGGGGUAAUAAUCUUGCGGGAAGAUGUAGUUGUAAAGUUGAUGGAACUUUUGGAGGCAUCUCAUGCUACGACUUCUGAACUACUUGCUGAAAAAGAGCAGUCAAGCAAGGGAAAGCGUAAGAGGGCUAGCAAUAAAAGUGGAUCCUCUGCUUCUGGAAGUUCAAAAGGCUCGGCUAAGCCCUUAGUGCAAGGGAAGUUUUGAACUUUACGCCCGUCAAUGGAAAGCCCAUAAGGAUUAUGUUUUCUCAUCAAGAUGACAAGAUCCCAUAUCCGCAAGACUGGAUUUGCAAAUGUUUACAUAAAGAAUUUGGAGUCAUCCAUUGAUAACAAGGCUUUGUAUGAGACAUUUGCUGCCUUUGGGACUGUUCUUUCCUGCAAGGUUGCCGGUGAUGGCAAUGGGAAAUCGAAAGGGCAUGGGUUUGUACAGUUUGAUGCAGAGGAGGCUGCGAACAAUGCGAACAAUGCAAUCAAACGACUGAAUGGCAUGCUGAUAAAUCUUGAUGAUAGCAUAACUGAUGAAAAACUGAAAGAGUUAUUCUCAGAGCAUGGAACCAUAUGAUCCUGCAAGGUGAUGCUUGAUCCACAAGGAACCAGCAAGGGUGCUGGCUUUGUAGCCUUUUCUAACCCGGCCAGAUGAAGCUACAAGAGCUGUAAGCUUUGCUAACUCCAUUUUUCUUUGUUAAAACUUAAAACCAUUCUUAAAAAUAGUUAAGAUGUCAGUGCACCAUGGCUAACAUUUCACUCUUUAAUUUCAGUUGAAUGAAAUGAAUGGAAAAUUGAUUGGACGAAAGCCAUUGUAUUGUCUGUCAUGUAAUGGCUAUUAUUUUCUUCGUGAAACACUUGUACGCUAAACUUUUGCUUGUCAAUUAUUUUGCAUAAUUGAAUAUUAUAGCUUCUAUAUCCAUGCCCUGAGAUUUGGAAUGUUAAAUCAUCUUGUUUCCAUUACAA